RNAcentral lists this ribosomal RNA (513 nucleotides) under Triticum aestivum (bread wheat). Its description in RNAcentral is "partial small subunit ribosomal RNA". Lineage: Eukaryota; Viridiplantae; Streptophyta; Magnoliopsida; Poales; Poaceae. The record is from RNAcentral.
AUGCCAGACACCAUCAUUUCAGGCCUGAAGAAAUACAACUGGGGUGCUCUCUCGUUCGACAACAAGCUCUGUAAAACAAACAACACAUCCAAGUCAGCAAUGCGUGCUCCUGGAGAUGCUCAGGGAUCUUUUAUCGCUGAGCUAUCAUCGAGCAUGUCGCUUCGGUGCUGUCACUUGAUGCUAAUAGUGUCAGACAGAAGAAUUUCCACACCUAUGACAGCCUUGUGUUGUUCUAUCCAGAAAGCACAGGCGAAGCUUCUACGUACACAUUGCAUUCUAUCUUCGAUAGGUUGCUUACGACAUCGAGCUACCUGCAUCGAGCCGAAUCCAUCAGGCAGUACAACAGCUGCACCAAGUGGUGGAAGCGGGGUAUCUCUUGUGUGCCCCUCGUCUUCAAGGUGGCACCAAGGCCAGCUCCUGGAAGAGUUUCUGUGCUCAACGAUGGUUCCAUUGUGGUUGAGGUUGGAGGCAUUGAGAUUGGGCAAGGGCUCUGGACCAAAGUACAGCAAAUGA